RNAcentral lists this ribosomal RNA (468 nucleotides) under uncultured bacterium. RNAcentral's name for it is "partial 16S ribosomal RNA". It matches the Rfam family "Bacterial small subunit ribosomal RNA", at positions 28 to 507 of the family's 1533-position model. The record is from RNAcentral.
GACGAACGCUGGCGGCGUGCUUAACACAUGCAAGUCGAACGGAAAGGCCCUGCUUUUGUGGGGUGCUCGAGUGGCGAACGGGUGAGUAACACGUGAGUAACCUGCCCUUGACUUUGGGAUAACUUCAGGAAACUGGGGCUAAUACCGGAUAGGAGCUCCUGCUGCAUGGUGGGGGUUGGAAAGUUUCGGCGGUUGGGGAUGGACUCGCGGCUUAUCAGCUUGUUGGUGGGGUAGUGGCUUACCAAGGCUUUGACGGGUAGCCCGCCUGAGAGGGUGACCGGCCACAUUGGGACUGCGAUACGGCCCAGACUCCUACGGGAGGCAGCAGUGGGGAAUAUUGCACAAUGGGCGGAAGCCUGAUGCAGCAACGCCGCGUGCGGGAUGCCGGCCUUCGGGUUGUAAACCGCUUUCGCAUGUGACGAAGCGUGAGUGACGGUACUGGGUAAAGAAGCACCGGCUAACUACGUG